GAUGAUGAACGCAGCGAAAUGCGAUAAGUAGUGUGAAUUGCAGAAUUCAGUGAAUCAUCGAAUCUUUGAACGCACAUUGCGCCCCUUGGUAUUCCAUGGGGCAUGCCUGUUCGAGCGUCAUUUGUACCUUCAAGCCUUGCUUGGUGUUGGGUGUUUGUCUCGCCUCUGCGCGCAGACUCGCCUCAAAACAAUUGGCAGCCGGCGUAUUGAUUUCGGAGCGCAGUACAUCUCGCGCUUUGCACUCAGAACGACGACGUCCAAAAGUACAUUUUUACACUCUUGACCUCGGAUCAGGUAGGGAUACCCGCUGAACUUAAGCAUAUCAAUAAGCGGAGGA
This 337-nucleotide unclassified non-coding RNA is filed under the name soil metagenome. Its description in RNAcentral is "partial contains 5.8S ribosomal RNA, internal transcribed spacer 2, and large subunit ribosomal RNA". The stretch from base 1 to 120 matches the Rfam family "5.8S ribosomal RNA", at positions 35 to 154 of the family's 154-position model. The record is from RNAcentral.